UCCAGACUCCUACGGGAGGCAGCAGUGGGGAAUAUUGCACAAUGGGGGAAACCCUGAUGCAGCGACGCCGCGUGAGUGAAGAAGUAUUUCGGUACGUAAAGCUCUAUCAGCAGGGAAGAAAAACCGGCCUUAGGGCCGCCAGACGGUACCUGACUAAGAAGCCCCGGCUAACUACGUGCCAGCAGCCGCGGUAAUACGUAGGGGGCAAGCGUUAUCCGGAUUUACUGGGUGUAAAGGGAGCGUAGACGGCAGCGCAAGUCUGGAGUGAAAUGCCGGGGCCCAACCCCGGAACUGCUUUGGGAACUGUUUUGCUGGAGUAUGGGAGGGGUAAGCGGAAUUCCUGGUGUAGCGGUGAAAUGCGUAGAUAUCAGGAGGAACAUCGGUGGCGAAGGCGGCUUACUGGACCAUAACUGACGUUGAGGCUCGAAAGCGUGGGGAGCGAACAGGAUUAGAUACCCUUGUACGA
Molecule: ribosomal RNA, 466 nt
Filed under: uncultured bacterium
Lineage: Bacteria
Description: bacterial SSU rRNA
Rfam family: Bacterial small subunit ribosomal RNA
Source: RNAcentral